Molecule: ribosomal RNA, 254 nt
Filed under: uncultured bacterium
Lineage: Bacteria
Description: partial 16S ribosomal RNA
Rfam family: Bacterial small subunit ribosomal RNA
Source: RNAcentral
UACGUAGGGGGCGAGCGUUGUCCGGAUUUAUUGGGCGUAAAGAGCGUGUAGGCGGCCAGGUAGGUCUGCUGUGAAAACUCGAGGCUCAACCUCGAGACGUCGGCGGAAACCAUCUGGCUAGAGUCCGGAAGAGGAGAGUGGAAUUCCUGGUGUAGCGGUGAAAUGCGCAGAUAUCAGGAAGAACACCCGUGGCGGAAGGCGGCUCUCUGGGACGGUACUGACGCUGAGGAACGAAAGCAUGGGGAGCGAACAGG